Molecule: small nuclear RNA, 108 nt
Filed under: Phascolarctos cinereus (koala)
Lineage: Eukaryota; Metazoa; Chordata; Mammalia; Diprotodontia; Phascolarctidae
Source: RNAcentral
GUGCUCACUUGGGCAGUACAUAUAUUAAAAUUGGAAUAAUACAGAGAAAAUCAGCGAGGCUCCUGUGCAAGGGUGCCAUACAAAUUUUGAAGGGAUUGGUAUUUUUUU